This 345-nucleotide ribosomal RNA is filed under the name Triticum aestivum (bread wheat). RNAcentral's name for it is "partial small subunit ribosomal RNA". Lineage: Eukaryota; Viridiplantae; Streptophyta; Magnoliopsida; Poales; Poaceae. The record is from RNAcentral.
AUGGCAAAUCAAGUGGGCACUGUCACUGAGGCCAUAGAGGCUGUGAAACAGGCAAAGGAUGCUCAUUGGGGUGUGAUGGUGUCGUAUAGGUAUGGGGACACGGAUGAUUCUUUCAUCGCCGACCUGAUUGUCGGUGCAACAACUGGACAGAUCAAAGCCGGUGCCCCCUGCUGUGGAGAGUGCCUCAUGAAAUACAAUCAGGUUGUUAUCGUGCUGAGGAUGCUAUGGGAAAACAGGGACAUGUUUGAUCUUGUUAUCAGUGAUGUGCACAUGCCAGACAUGGAUGGCUUUAAGCUUCUUGAGCUUGAUAUGGACCUCCCUGUCAUCAGAGUAAUGGAAUGUUAA